Molecule: long non-coding RNA, 651 nt
Filed under: Capsicum annuum
Lineage: Eukaryota; Viridiplantae; Streptophyta; Magnoliopsida; Solanales; Solanaceae
Description: long non-coding RNA (CANN_LNC012635)
Source: RNAcentral
UGACUACACUUUGCAUAUACCAGUGUCAUAUUUACUGAUAUUCUAAUAUUUUUAUUCUCUAAUUUCAAAGUAAGAUGCUACUCCUCAUUGCUGAUUUUACUAUACUCUAUUGCAGAAUCCAUAAAUGCCCAUAUCUUGCCUGAGACAUUAGCUGUAGCAUGCUGCAUCCCUAAUAUUCUUUUAUAAUCAUUAAGAUUAACGCUUUCCUGAAAAGUCUCUAUGAGUCCUAUAAAGCAAAAUUAAUAUCUCUUAUGCAUUGUAAUUAAUUUUGUAAAUGCUUUCUGAGUAUUGACAGAUCUUAUAUUCCAUAUCAAAGCAUUCAUCUUGAUUUUGAUUUUUUUGAAUUGCUCCUUGCCUGCAUUAUACUUCCUCUUGUAUUUUUUCUCUUCUUUUGUCAUUUCCCAUGUUAGGCACUUAACAUCUAUAUCUUCUAUGGAGACAAAUCAACUGCUUUUGUUACCUCUUUUAUAUUGUCCUCCAAGUCCUCAUCAUCUUUAUCUACUUUGUUAACAUCUGAAAAUUAAGUUUCUUUCCUGUAUCUAUUACAAGGGGAACUUUUCCUUCAUUACCAUGUCUUCUCUAUUUUUAUUCUAUUGUUCUACUAACAUCAAAUCCCCUUCGUUGUUAUAACUUUCAAUUUUGUUUGGCUGG